UACGUAGGGUGCAAGCGUUGUCCGGAAUUAUUGGGCGUAAAGAGCUCGUAGGCGGUCUGUCGCGUCUGCUGUGAAAUCCCGGAGCUCAACUCCGGGCCUGCAGUCGAUACGGGCAGACUGGAGUUCGGCAGGGGAGACUGGAAUUCCUGGUGUAGCGGUGAAAUGCGCAGAUAUCAGGAGGAACACCGGUGGCGAAGGCGGGUCUCUGGGCCGAUACUGACGCUGAGGAGCGAAAGCGUGGGGAGCGAACAGG
RNAcentral lists this ribosomal RNA (253 nucleotides) under uncultured bacterium. Its description in RNAcentral is "partial 16S ribosomal RNA". It matches the Rfam family "Bacterial small subunit ribosomal RNA", at positions 524 to 776 of the family's 1533-position model. The record is from RNAcentral.